CCUACGGCGGCUGCAGUGGGGAAUAUUGGACAAUGGGCGAAAGCCUGAUCCAGCCAUGCCGCGUGUGUGAAGAAGGCCUUCGGGUUGUAAAGCACUUUCAGUGGGGAAGAAAGCCUUGGGGCUAAUACCCUCGAGGAAGGACAUCACCCACAGAAGAAGCACCGGCUAACUCCGUGCCAGCAGCCGCGGUAAUACGGAGGGUGCGAGCGUUAAUCGGAAUUACUGGGCGUAAAGCGCGCGUAGGCGGUCUGAUAAGCCGGUUGUGAAAGCCCCGGGCUCAACCUGGGAACGGCAUCCGGAACGGUCAGGCUAGAGUGCAGGAGAGGAAGGUAGAAUUCCCGGUGUAGCGGUGAAAUGCGUAGAGAUCGGGAGGAAUACCAGUGGCGAAGGCGGCCUUCUGGACUGACACUGACGCUGAGGUGCGAAAGCGUGGGUAGCAAACAGGAUUAGAUACCCUAGUAGUC
Molecule: ribosomal RNA, 464 nt
Filed under: Vreelandella stevensii
Lineage: Bacteria; Pseudomonadati; Pseudomonadota; Gammaproteobacteria; Oceanospirillales; Halomonadaceae
Description: partial 16S ribosomal RNA
Rfam family: Bacterial small subunit ribosomal RNA
Source: RNAcentral